GGGGAGGUCGCAUAGUGGCCUAGUGCGGCGGUUUGCUAAACCGCUGUAGGAGCAAUCCUACCGAGGGUUCGAAUCCCUCCCUCCCCG
Molecule: transfer RNA, 87 nt
Filed under: Oscillochloris trichoides DG-6
Lineage: Bacteria; Bacillati; Chloroflexota; Chloroflexia; Chloroflexales; Oscillochloridaceae
Rfam family: tRNA
About the family: Transfer RNA (tRNA) molecules are approximately 80 nucleotides in length. Their secondary structure includes four short double-helical elements and three loops (D, anti-codon, and T loops). Further hydrogen bonds mediate the characteristic L-shaped molecular structure. tRNAs have two regions of fundamental functional importance: the anti-codon, which is responsible for specific mRNA codon recognition, and the 3' end, to which the tRNAs corresponding amino acid is attached (by aminoacyl-tRNA synthetases). tRNAs cope with the degeneracy of the genetic code in two manners: having more than one tRNA (with a specific anti-codon) for a particular amino acid; and 'wobble' base-pairing, i.e. permitting non-standard base-pairing at the 3rd anti-codon position.
Source: Rfam by way of RNAcentral